RNAcentral lists this ribosomal RNA (230 nucleotides) under uncultured bacterium. Its description in RNAcentral is "partial 16S ribosomal RNA". It matches the Rfam family "Bacterial small subunit ribosomal RNA", at positions 15 to 228 of the family's 1533-position model. The record is from RNAcentral.
GAUCCUGGCUCAGGACGAACGCUGGCGGCGUGCUUAACACAUGCAAGUCGAACGAGAAUCUGCUGAAAGAGGAUUCGUCCAAUGGAAGCAGAGGAAAGUGGCGGACGGGUGAGUAACGCGUGAGGAACCUGCCUUGAAGAGGGGGACAACAGUUGGAAACGACUGCUAAUACCGCAUGAUGCGUGAGGGCCGCAUGGCCUUUACGCCAAAGAUUUAUCGCUUCAAGAUGG